This 620-nucleotide ribosomal RNA is filed under the name Trametes versicolor. RNAcentral's name for it is "eukaryotic LSU rRNA". The stretch from base 210 to 363 matches the Rfam family "5.8S ribosomal RNA". The record is from RNAcentral. Lineage: Eukaryota; Fungi; Basidiomycota; Agaricomycetes; Polyporales; Polyporaceae.
UAAGGGGUACUGCGGAGGAUCAUUACGAGUUUUGAAACGAGUUGUAGCUGGCCUUCCGAGGCAUGUGCACGCUCUGCUCAUCCACUCUACCCCUGUGCACUUACUGUAGGUUGGCGUGGGCUCCUUAACGGGAGCAUUCUGCCGGCCUAUGUAUACUACAAACACUUUAAAGUAUCAGAAUGUAAACGCGUCUAACGCAUCUAUAAUACAACUUUUAGCAACGGAUCUCUUGGCUCUCGCAUCGAUGAAGAACGCAGCGAAAUGCGAUAAGUAAUGUGAAUUGCAGAAUUCAGUGAAUCAUCGAAUCUUUGAACGCACCUUGCGCUCCUUGGUAUUCCGAGGAGCAUGCCUGUUUGAGUGUCAUGGAAUUCUCAACUUAUAAAUCCUUGUGAUCUAUAAGCUUGGACUUGGAGGCUUGCUGGCCCUUGCGGUCGGCUCCUCUUGAAUGCAUUAGCUCGAUUCCGUACGAAUCGGCUCUCAGUGUGAUAAUUGUCUACGCUGUGAUCGUGAAGUGUUUUGGCGAGCUUCUAACCGUCCAUUAGGACAACUUUUUAACAUCUGACCUCAAAUCAGGUAGGACUACCCGCUGAACUUAAGCAUAUCUAAAGACGGGAAAGGAA